CUACGGGGGGCACCAGUGAGGAAUUUUGCGCAAUGGGGGGAACCCUGACGCAGCAACGCCGUGUGAGUGAAGAAGGCCUUUGGGUCGUAAAGCUCUGUCAACUGGGAAGAAGUUACUAUGCUUAAAUAGAGCGCAGUAUUGACGGUACCAGUGGAGGAAGCGUCGGCUAACCCCGUGCCAGCAGCCGCGGUAACACGGGGGACGCAAGCGUUAUUCGGAAUUAUUGGGCGUAAAGGGCGCGUAGGCGGUCUUGUCGGUCAGGUGUGAAAGCCCGGGGCUCAACCCCGGACGUGCACUUGAAACAGCAAGACUUGAGUACGGGAGAGGAAAGCGGAAUUCCUGGUGUAGAGGUGAAAUUCGUAGAUAUCAGGAGGAACACCGAUGGCGAAGGCAGCUUUCUGGACCGAAACUGACGCUGAGGCGCGAAGGCGUGGGUAGCGAACGGGAUUAGAUACCCUGGUAGUC
RNAcentral lists this ribosomal RNA (465 nucleotides) under uncultured bacterium. RNAcentral's name for it is "partial 16S ribosomal RNA". It matches the Rfam family "Bacterial small subunit ribosomal RNA", at positions 339 to 795 of the family's 1533-position model. The record is from RNAcentral.